AUGAAGGAGGAUUUGAGGAGAUCUGGAUAUAAUCCAUCUCCGUUUUUCUUCAUUAUCAAAAGUGGUUUUAUGAAAGGGAAAACAGAACAGACCGCUCUGAAUACCUGCACUGGAUUUCCUCCUGGAUGUCUCCAGAUGCAUCCUCCUUCUGCAUGGGGAAGCUGUGCCUUGUGGGGAGCACACCACUCUUCUCCAGUGUGCCGCAGUCAGAAAGCUGGGAUGAAUGUGAUGGUGGCAUCAGGAUGCUCUUCUCCUCUGUGGGAUCAAGGAAUAGGUAUUUUGCCCAGGGCUCAGCAGAUAACCUGCAUUAUCAGGAGGGAUAACCAUUGUGCAGAGAGAGGAGAGAUCUAAUUCUAAUGAAGACUAUUGAUAGUGACUGUAUUGCCCAGAGAGCUUAAAUAAAUCUCGUUUGCUCACUCA
This 420-nucleotide long non-coding RNA is filed under the name Phasianus colchicus (ring-necked pheasant). RNAcentral's name for it is "lncRNA (ENSPCLG00000016120.1)". The record is from RNAcentral. Lineage: Eukaryota; Metazoa; Chordata; Aves; Galliformes; Phasianidae.